This 468-nucleotide ribosomal RNA is filed under the name uncultured bacterium. RNAcentral describes it as "partial 16S ribosomal RNA". It matches the Rfam family "Bacterial small subunit ribosomal RNA", at positions 28 to 507 of the family's 1533-position model. The record is from RNAcentral.
GGCGAACGCUGGCGGCGUGCUUAACACAUGCAAGUCGAACGGAAAGGCCCUGCUUUUGUGGGGUGCUCGAGUGGCGAACGGGUGAGUAACACGUGAGUAACCUGCCCUUGACUUUGGGAUAACUUCAGGCAACUGGGGCUAAUACCGGAUAGGAGCUCCUGCUGCAUGGUGGGGGUUGGAAAGUUUCGGCGGUUGGGGAUGGACUCGCGGCUUACCAGCUUGUUGGUGGGGUAGUGGCUUACCAAGGCUUUGACGGGUAGCCGGCCUGAGAGGGUGACCGGCCACAUUGGGACUGAGAUACGGCCCAGACUCCUACGGGAGGCAGCAGGGGGGAAUAUUGCACAAUGGGCGGAAGCCUGAUGCAGCAACGCCGCGUGCGGGAUGACGGCCUUCGGGUUGUAAACCGCUUUCGCCUGUGACGAAGCGUGAGUGACGGUAAUGGGUAAAGAAGCACCGGCUAACUACGUG